AUGACGAAUAUGGUUCACAUCGAUGAGAAGUGGUUCGACAUGACGAGAGUGAAGAAUAGUUACUAUGUACUUCCAGGAGAACCUGAACCGAAGCGCACCGUGUCAAACACUCACAGCAUUGGGAAGGUAAUGUUCCUAACAGCUGUUGCCAGGCCUCGAUAUAACAAUGAGGGGGAGCUAACAUUCGAUGGGAAGAUCGGCAUUUGGGCAUUCGUUGAAGAGACUGAGGCGAAGCGGACAAGUCAGAACAGAACAAAGGGAACAAAAGUGUUGACAUCAGUGAAAGUAACCAGGCUUGUGUGCAGAGAUUAUCUAAUCAAUAAGGUUAUCCCGGCAAUUCAGGAUAAGUGGCCUGACGAUGAUGAGGGAGCAAAAAUAUUCAUCCAACAGGAUAACGCAAAGCCUCAUGUCCUUCCCAAUGAUGUAGCUUUUCGAGAAGCUGUGGAACAAACUGAUCUUGACAUCUGA
This 468-nucleotide ribosomal RNA is filed under the name Triticum aestivum (bread wheat). RNAcentral describes it as "partial small subunit ribosomal RNA". Lineage: Eukaryota; Viridiplantae; Streptophyta; Magnoliopsida; Poales; Poaceae. The record is from RNAcentral.